UCCAUCUCCGAUUCUGUAUCGGAGCCUGA
Molecule: small RNA, 29 nt
Filed under: Bombyx mori (domestic silkworm)
Lineage: Eukaryota; Metazoa; Arthropoda; Insecta; Lepidoptera; Bombycidae
Description: ovarian small RNA-26970
Source: RNAcentral